RNAcentral lists this ribosomal RNA (253 nucleotides) under uncultured bacterium. RNAcentral's name for it is "partial 16S ribosomal RNA". It matches the Rfam family "Bacterial small subunit ribosomal RNA", at positions 524 to 776 of the family's 1533-position model. The record is from RNAcentral.
UACGAAGGGGGCUAGCGUUACUCGGAUUGACUGGGCGUAAAGGGCUCGUAGGCGGAUGGUACAGUCAGACGUGAAAUUCCUGGGCUCAACCUGGGGGCUGCGUUUGAUACGUGCUGUCUGGAGUUCGGAAGAGGGUCGUGGAAUUCCCAGUGUAGAGGUGAAAUUCGUAGAUAUUGGGAAGAACACCGGUGGCGAAGGCGGCGACCUGGUCCGAUACUGACGCUGAGGCGCGAAAGCGUGGGGAGCAAACAGG